AGAACAGGUGGAGGAGAGAGAGCAUCGAUAGAGAGAACAGGUGGAGGAGAGAGCAUCGAUAGAGAGAACAGGUGGAGGAGAGAGAGCAUCGAUAGAGAGAACAGGUGGAGGAGAGAGAGCAUCGAUAGAGAGAACAGGUGGAGGAGAGAGAGAGCAUCGAUAGAGAGAACAGGUGGAGGAGAGAGAGCAUCGAUAGAGAGAACAGGUGGAGGAGAGAGAGCAUCGAUAGAGAGAACAGGUGGAGGAGAGAGAGAGCAUCGAUAGAGAGAACAGGUGGAGGAGAGAGAGCAUCGAUAGAGAGAACAGGUGGAGGAGAGAGAGAGCAUCGAUAGAGAGAA
Long non-coding RNA from Pseudoliparis swirei, 338 nucleotides. RefSeq lists it as uncharacterized. The record is from RefSeq and is a predicted model, not a curated record. Lineage: Eukaryota; Metazoa; Chordata; Actinopteri; Perciformes; Liparidae. The transcript is spliced from 3 exons.